Long non-coding RNA from Gallus gallus (chicken), 563 nucleotides. RefSeq lists it as uncharacterized. Lineage: Eukaryota; Metazoa; Chordata; Aves; Galliformes; Phasianidae. The record is from RefSeq and is a predicted model, not a curated record. The transcript has 3 exons.
GGAACCUUUGGAGGUCACACAGUUCUAACUUCUUGUCAGCCAGAAUAGGCUGUACAUUUUGGAUGUACCUCGUAACUGAGCAUCCACAACCUCUCUGGGAAACCUCCUUCAGUGACUGAUCAUCCCAAAGAGAAGAACACAACCCAGUUUCUGCAACAAAAUACAUUUUUGCUAAGUACAAAAUACUUGGAUUUGUCACUUGGAAACCAGGCAGUAAAACAGGCUGAGCCGUACCUUCACAGAAGGCGCCAGUGCUAGAGAAUACUCCUCACUAAAACUGGUUCAGUGAAAGAAAAGAUCCUGCAAGGAAAAAAGCUAUUUGUGCACCUUGAUGUUACUGCACGCCAAUAGUCUUUCAGCAGAACUCUGUUAUUAAUGUUUCAUUUCAAGUCCCUUGUGAUUAACAGUCCAUGCUCAUCAGCCCGGCCUUCCCAACCUAUUUCCUGCACUAGGACGUGUACCAUACUACACAUUAAGAUGGAUUACAACAGGCAUCCUAACAAAGCCAUCUGCUUCAGUCUGCAUGAAUCUAAAUCAGCAAAUAAAAUGGUUAUGCCAAUUAA